Molecule: long non-coding RNA, 1350 nt
Filed under: Mytilus galloprovincialis (Mediterranean mussel)
Lineage: Eukaryota; Metazoa; Mollusca; Bivalvia; Mytilida; Mytilidae
Source: RNAcentral
CAUCGAUACAAUUUUUAUCUCAUGAUGUACUUUUUCAAAGGACAAUUUAUAAAGUGUUACGUCAAUAAAUAGUACCAUAAAAUGCAUGUUGGGAAAAACAACUUUUUAUAAAUUCAUGCAAAAUAUUUGAUACAGUAUCUAUUGUUAAAGGUAUCUAAAAAUGGAUCCCACCAGAACACACAGACUAAGUCUAUGAGGAAAAUAAAGUCUUAUAGAUCAACAACUAACAACUGUAAUGAGCAGAUGAUAUAUAUGAGAUAAAGAUAGAACUGGUAUGAAAGGUGACAGUAGAACAUUGAAAUAAUUCGAAAGGUAGGUAUAGCUUUACACUCAUUUAUGAUUGUUUUAAGUAAGUUUUUGCAGCUUUUCCUAGUAUUUUAUUUCAAUAACAUGAAAUGUUGUAGUGUGUUCAUGGGACAACAAACCAACAACGAGCAAAUUCAAAAGAAUAAAGAGCAGCAAUACAAUUCUACAACAAUUGAAAGAUGUCAUUUAAGUUAACAAAGAAGUCUAUGGGAAGUACAUAUCCGUACACACAACUUCUCAGUUAACUGUUUCACAGAUUGCAUUGAUAUUGUGCUCAAGUAAUCAGAUUAUGUUAAUACAUAUGUGUUUUGGUGCCGAUCCAAAGAUGAGUGUAACAGCAGGACAUAUUUUAACUUAGGAACCUGCAGGAAAUAUAAACAAAGAUCUCCUUCUCUGAAACUGAAUAACAGAUUUAAAAGAUAAUAUAAUGAGAAUUGCCACUGGUACUAAUAAUGAAAAAUUCCACAAAAAAAAAUUUUUUUUUAUUUUUAAACUGCUGUAUAGUGUAUAAAAUAAUGAAAAGUUGUAGGAUUGCCAAUGAGACAACUAUCCACCAAAUUUGAUGUGAUGUGGAUGUGAACAAUAAUAUGCAAUUUUGCAGACUUCAACAAUGAGAAAACCCAUACCGUAUUGUCGGCUACAAAAGACCAAGACAUAAACAAUAUAUGAAACAAUUCAAUGUAGAAAAUUUAACGACCUAAUUUAUAACAAAAUUCCAAUCAUGAACAAUGCUCCAGUUUCCAUGGUAGGUAUAAUCAAACAUUAUCCAUUCUUUUUUUUUCAUUUUUCUCCAUGUAUAAUAUGAACCUUGUAUAAUUAACGUUAUACUACCUUUAGCAAUGCAUGUACACUGAUUCACAUUAUGUCAUGGUUGACCUAUGUUUGAUCUAAUUAUUGGACUUUAACAAAAAUAAUAAAUAUUAUAAUCCACUUUUUCCUUUCCAGAAACAAGUUGGCAAAGAUAUGUAUCACACGCAUUGGAAGAGCAGUGGAAAAUAACAUUGAAGGAGAAUUAUGAAACAGUGAUUAUAACAUCAAAUUGAG